Molecule: ribosomal RNA, 390 nt
Filed under: uncultured bacterium
Lineage: Bacteria
Description: bacterial SSU rRNA
Rfam family: Bacterial small subunit ribosomal RNA
Source: RNAcentral
GACGAACGCUGGCGGCGUGCUUAACACAUGCAAGUCGAACGGUAAGGCCCCUUUGGGGGUACACGAGUGGCGAACGGGUGAGUAACACGUGAGCAACCUGCCCUUGACUCCGGAAUAACAGCUGGAAACAGCUGCUAAUACCAGAUACGACUCAGUGCGACAUCGCAUCGAGUGGAAAGCCCUGGCGGUCAAGGAUGGGCUCGCGGCCUAUCAGCUUGUUGGUGAGGAACGGCUCACCAAGGCUUCGACGGGUAGCCGGCCUGAGAGGGCGACCGGCCACACUGGGACUGAGAUACGGCCCAGACUCCUACGGGAGGCAGCAGUGGGGAAUAUUGCACAAUGGGCGAAAGCCUGAUGCAGCAACGCCGCGUGCGGGAUGACGGCCUCGGU